RNAcentral lists this ribosomal RNA (384 nucleotides) under Coreus marginatus. RNAcentral's name for it is "partial small subunit ribosomal RNA". The record is from RNAcentral. Lineage: Eukaryota; Metazoa; Arthropoda; Insecta; Hemiptera; Coreidae.
AUGGUACAUACUCAAAAUUUAGCAUAGAGAUUGAUUUUGUCUCUUAAAAUUAGUUAAUUGAUAAUAUUAAAUACUAGUAUUUGCGUGUGAUUAAUAACCUAAAAGGUUAAUUAAAUUUAUUUGUAGUUUUUAAUUUUGGGUUUUACAUAGUUGUAUAACCAGUUAAUUAUUUUAGGUCUGUUUAAAGUUGUGCCAGCAAACGCGGUUACACAAUUAGAUCAAGUUAAUUUUUUUGGUGAGUAUUAAUUUUUUAUUAUUUGGGUUUUAAAUUUAUAUUUUAAGGUGAAAUUUUUAAUAUAAUUUAUAUUAUUUAGGUUUAAGACUAUAUUAAAUUCAGAGUUUAGACUAGGAUUAGAUACCCUAUUAUUCUGAAUGUAAAGUUUA